CAAUAGCGUAUAUUUAAGUUGUUGCAGUUAAAAAGCUCGUAGUUGGAUUUCGGGGCGGCCCGGCCGGUCCGCCGCGAGGCGAGCACUGGUCGGGCGCCCUUCCUCUCGAAGGCUUCGACUGCUCUUGAUUGCGGUGGUCGAGGAGUUCGGGACGUUUACUUUGAAAAAAUUAGAGUGUUCAAGGCAGGCCGUCGCCUGAAUACAUUAGCAUGGAAUAAUGGAAGAGGACCUCGGUCCUAUUUUGUUGGUUUCCAGGGCCGAAGUAAUGAUUAAGAGGGACAGUUGGGGGCAUUCGUAUUCAAUUGUCAGAGGUGAAAUUCUCGGAUUUAUGGAAGACGAACAAGUGCGAAAGCAUUUGCCAAGGAUGUUUUCAUUAA
RNAcentral lists this ribosomal RNA (377 nucleotides) under uncultured eukaryote. RNAcentral describes it as "partial 18S ribosomal RNA". It matches the Rfam family "Eukaryotic small subunit ribosomal RNA", at positions 592 to 976 of the family's 1831-position model. The record is from RNAcentral.